UGAUGGGAGAAAGCAGUGCAGUAGGACAUGCCUUGCCACUGCGGCACAUACCUGGUCAGGGGCUGGAUAUUGCCCUUGAAUGGGGCCCUGCUGGCGAGACAGGCAGAGGAGCACCCACAACUCCCUGGGAAAGCUGGACAUGAGAUUCUUCUUGAGCUGUCGAAAAUGGCAUCACUUUCUGAGUCAUUUAUUAUAAAUAGCAGCAUGAAGCAGUUUGUCUGGAUUUUAUGGAGGGAAUGGCCUGGAAGCUAAAUCAUAACCAAAAUUGUAAUAAAAAGAAGAUGAAAAAUGUACAAACAAACCAUAUUAAAAAUUGCUUAUUACAUUUCGGUAUCCUCAAGAAGUUGUUUACUGUGUAUUUCUUCUUUUCUGAUGUGAGAUCUACAUUUCAUUUUUCCUUUCUGUCAAACCUCUUUCACUCACGGUCUCUAGUUUAAAUACUUUCUCCGUGGCAGCGAUUGUAAUUCUGUGCUGUUUCCUCAUCUGCUCCCUCUCAG
This is a long non-coding RNA of Gallus gallus (chicken), 497 nucleotides long. NCBI's taxonomy places the organism in Eukaryota, Metazoa, Chordata, Aves, Galliformes, Phasianidae. The record is from Ensembl.